RNAcentral lists this non-coding RNA (27 nucleotides) under Cricetulus griseus (Chinese hamster). The record is from RNAcentral. Lineage: Eukaryota; Metazoa; Chordata; Mammalia; Rodentia; Cricetidae.
CUAGUAAACUGAGCAUAAGGAAAACGC